AUGUGUGUUGCUUUUGUUUUUUUUUUGACGAUCAAGUGGUGGACGUUUGAAGUGGACAUUUGAAAGUGUUGUCAAGAACUUUUGUUAAACUGUGAUAUUCAUGCGAUUAUAAACUGCUAAUAAUAUUUUGUAUUUCCUUUAAUUUAUGUUUGAUUUGCUUAUAAAAAACUCAAACCUACGACUAAUCCCAUUUUAAAUUUUGCGCGCUCAAAAGAAAAGCAUCGAAUUUUUCAGGUGUUUUAUACCACUUUCAGCAAAGAAAGAACACUGAAAAAAUUAAAUCAAAAGAAUCAAAGCUAAUAUGAAAUAAAAUGUACCAAAAGAAGUACAACUUAAAUGGCGACAAGCUCAAAAGCAAAGUAAAAAAUGUCUUACAAGUUUUAAAAUUUUUUCUAUAAAUAGUUUUUAUUUUUUUUUUUCAAGCCAAGAUCCGUGCAGAAUUUCAUUUUAAUUUUGAUUGAAAGUUUCACAAAAUCUUUAUAAAAAAAUCAAUUAAUUUUACGAGAAUUAAAAUUCUAAAAUUUUUUUGCGUUCCAAAAAAUCAUCAAAUUCAAAAGCGAUAUUGAAAAUUUUGCUUUCUUUUGAGAAACUCUGAAUAAAAGAAAGUCUUUUUAUUUAACGAGAAAGUAAAAUUAAAUUUUUUUAAUCCGAAUUACAUCAGAAAAUUAUUUGAUUUCACACGAAUUGAUUUUUUUUAAUUUUACGCUCAUGGCAGAUUCAAGUUAAAGUGAAUUAUUUCAGCGGAGUUAAAAGCAAAAUUUUUUUCGGCGUUCAAUUUAAAAAAAGUAAAGUUAUAAAAUUUUUUUAAUUCCGGAGUUAAAAGUGUGCUUUUAUUUUGCUCUAAUUGCAUUACAAAAAUCGUUAAAUUUUACGUGAACUGAUUUUUUUACUUCAUGGAGCCAGAUUCAAUCCCAGCAAAUCUUUCCAAUUUCCCUCAAUUGAAAAUUUCAAUGUGUUGUUUGUUCCAGACUCCAGUUAAAAAAAUCAGUUUCAAUCCCAACAAAUCUUUCCAUUUUGCUUCAAUUGAAAUUUUCAAAAUGUUUUUCGUUCCAGACUCCUUUAGAAAAUUAAAUAAUUUGACAGAAAAUAAAUAGUCCAAAAAAAAUUCCCUGCGGCCGCAUUCAGAAAAACAUUCAUGGGAAUAAAAUGUGUUUAUAUUUUUUUUCAUACCGGAAAAUCAUUUAAUUUUACGGGAAUUGAAAAUUUUAUUUAGAAAUCCAAUUGAUUGUUAAGGAACGGAAAUUUAAUUUUUUUCGAUUUGACUAUUUCAUUUUCUUAUGCCUUUAUCUUCAUGAUUAAACCUCGUUUGAAAAGGUUAUUAACUUUAAAUUUACUCGAUAGUUGCUAGACUUUAACUUAGCAUGAAUUGAAAUAUUCGUCACUCUGCUAAGAAGAAAAAAAUAUAAUACAUAAAAAUUUAAGAAAAUAGGUAGCGCCAGUAGAGCAAAAAAAAACAGCAAUGUAUUUUAAUUUUUGCUUUAAGACCCUAGAAUAUCAAAAUCUAUAAAAAUUGCUUAGAGCUACUUAAACAAAAUUUGCAAAUUCGGAAAAAAAUAAAAAAUUUAAAAACAGAAAAAAAAAUAAUAUAAUAAAAAUAAAAAAUAAUAAUAAAAUAAUAAAAGAAAAAUAAAUAAAAUAAAAUUAAAAAUGUAUAAAAAAAUUAAAAAAAUAUAAAAAAAAUAAAAAAAUUACGACCAUACUGCUGCUACCUGCUUAAGGUGCUUUGUAAUAUACAUAGCUAAUGAUUUGUAACGGAAAAUUCUAAUUUGAAAACUGUGUUACAAACCAUUAAAGGAAAAUUGAUUAUCCAAAUUUAAAUUUGGUAGUACUCUAUCGAAUCGAUGCCCCUUUCACCAAAAGAAUUUAAUUACUUACUUUUCUUCCUCUCUACUUCAUAUCUGCAAUGUAAAUUAGUUAUAGCUAUGUAAAUUACUUAUAUGUAUGUGUGCACAUAUGCACAUACGAUUUACCACCAACCGCUUGUAUGCGGCAUUUUGAUUUAUGAUUUGUUUUGAUUGUGAGCUUUGCUUUGAUUUCUAAUAGCAUUUUUUGACUUUAUUUUUACUGCUAUCUGAUUUAUGGCUUAAGUCAAACUCAAGCCACAUAAUUCCAAUUUUGUAUGCAUUGCCAUUGUUCCUACAUACAUACAUAUGUACGUGAUUUUACUCACAUAAUUUACUCUACAUACAUAAGUCUUCUAAAGCCCUUGUAAUACCUUACGCCAAGCGAACGAGCAUUUCUAAUUCUUUAUCACUGGAUCUACACAAGUACAGGUAAAAUCGCUGGCAAUUGCUAAUUACAGUUCCGCUACCACAAAAAUAAAUAAAUAAAUGAGCGCGUGAAAAAUAAACAAGAAAAAACUGUCAAUAACAAAAGCUGUUCAUUCAAUUUGUUUCUCCUAUUUCGGUUGCCGAAUCGCACAAAACCAGUUUCCACUAAUUUGGUCUACGACACUUUGCAUUGACAUAUGAAAUUCCAUUACAUACCAAACUGUCAGCUUUAAAUAUUUUCGCCAAUUUCUAUAUUUCAUGCGCGAUACAAAGAAUUAUUUUUGGAUUUGCUAUGAUGCGUGACUUGUGUUUUGUGAGCGCAUAAUUUUCUAUAAAUACACCCACAUCCGGACAAUUAAAGCUCUUGAGUGUGCACCUGAAUAGAAAUUUCAAAUCAUUUCAUGUCAGGAAUUUCCAGAAAUCAAUUUUUUUGCACAAAGUUAUUUAAACAUUGAAGUUAUGGCUUAUGCGGAUUUUUUCAAAAAUUAUUAAAUUGUGUUAGGUGAUGAAAAGAGCUUAUAAUUUUUAAAACCAAUGCAGAUAUCUUAAAUCUUUCCUUUGUUGAGUUUUUGAAUUGUGUUUUUUUGUGCGUUUUAUACACAAUAAUAUAAAAAAUAUGAAAAAUAUUCAGAGUGAGCAGAAAGCUCACUCACUUCACCUCAAGCCAAAAAAAUGAUAUAUUUCAAUUCAAGCCAUUAGACAAACGUCAAUAAGCUGUUAAUUAAAACUGCGUCACAGUUUGAGGCGCUCUGUAACAACCUUCCUUCAUUCCUGCCUACAAUGCAACAACAAUGUAUCACAUUUAAAUUGCAUGCAGACGUUCAACCGCUUGCUCGAAUUUCGCAUUAAUGACGUUAGAAAUUUGAAGUGUUUACUUAAGCAGAAGACGAAGAAAAAGCGAAAAAUUGCUUAUUAUUGCUUUGCUACGAAAAUUAAAUUUUCUCUUUUUUCAAUGUUUUUUUGUAAAAAAGUUUUCAGCAAACAAGCAGCAAACAGCAUUUUUAAGUGUCCACUUCAUUCAAUGUGCGCCCAAAGCAAUAAUAAAAAUUAAUUAUGUGCAAAAAAAAAGAAGAAAAAAAAAAAACCAAAUUAAAGUUGAACGCCCAGUGCUUGUGGGAUUCACUCAGUUACCAAAAAUUAAAUAUUCAUGCCCAUUAAAAACAAUAAUAAUAAUAAUAAAAGCAAACACAUAAAAAUUACUCUCCAUAUUUUACUUGCAGAUUUAUCACAAACUUUUCGUACAACGCCAAAUUUGUAAAACUCAAGUAUCCCCAAAAUAUAAUAUAAAAAUACUACCACAUAUUAAUAACGGUUAAAUUUCGAAAACGCAUAACAAUGAAAAUCAACCAAAUUUACACGCUCAGCAGUAAGUUUUUGUCGAUGCUAAAGCGAUAAGCCAUUUAAUGAAAAUUGUUUGAUUGCCAUUGUGGCUGGUUGGCUUGAUGGUGCUUGGUGGUACUUUAUGGCGCAGAUGCUGGGCGCCCAACUUGUUUGUAUUUAUAACCGCCAGACAGCUGUGCAACAACCCAACUGAUGGUGGUGAUACUAAAAUAUUAAAAUAAGUGAAAGUUAUGAAGAGAUUAUGUUUAUAUACAAAGUUGAAGAAAAGGAACAGUGCCAUCUUCUCAUCAAAACAGUGCCAAAGUUAUUUAAGUACAAUAUCUACCUAAAAAAUAUAAUAUUAAAAAAAAAAAAAAAAUAUUGCCAUGAUUAAAUGUUUAAUGUAGAUCCACAGUAUGAUAGUCAUGAUUUAAUCACUCGAC
Anastrepha ludens (Mexican fruit fly) is the source of this 4033-nucleotide long non-coding RNA. RefSeq lists it as uncharacterized. The record is from RefSeq and is a predicted model, not a curated record. The transcript has 2 exons. Lineage: Eukaryota; Metazoa; Arthropoda; Insecta; Diptera; Tephritidae.